ACAAACUUGGUCAUUUAGAGGAAGUAAAAGUCGUAACAAGGUUUCCGUAGGUGAACCUGCGGAAGGAUCAUUAUUGAAUAUAUUACCUUGGUGGGUUGUAGCUGGCCUCUUGAGGCAUGUGCACACCUAUCUUGAUACUAUUCAUCCACCUGUGCAUCUAUUGUAGUUCUUUGCUCUUAGUAGGUGAUGAGAAGCAGGCUGUUAUUCAGUUGAGACAUACUGGUUUUGAGGAUUGCCUUUUUUGGCUAUCUUUUUUCUAGCCUUGUGCAAUUGUGCCUACCUAAGGUCCAAGGGACUAUGUUUUUAAUCAUAAACCAAUGUUGUAUGUUAUUAGAAUGUCAUUCAAUGGGCUUUUUUAUGCCUAUAAAAAUCUAUACAACUUUCAGCAACGGAUCUCUUGGCUCUCGCAUCGAUGAAGAACGCAGC
RNAcentral lists this unclassified non-coding RNA (426 nucleotides) under uncultured fungus. RNAcentral describes it as "partial contains small subunit ribosomal RNA, internal transcribed spacer 1, and 5.8S ribosomal RNA". The stretch from base 1 to 73 matches the Rfam family "Eukaryotic small subunit ribosomal RNA", at positions 1759 to 1831 of the family's 1831-position model. Lineage: Eukaryota; Fungi. The record is from RNAcentral.